This 449-nucleotide ribosomal RNA is filed under the name uncultured bacterium. RNAcentral's name for it is "partial 16S ribosomal RNA". It matches the Rfam family "Bacterial small subunit ribosomal RNA", at positions 29 to 523 of the family's 1533-position model. The record is from RNAcentral.
AACGAACGCUGGCGGCAGGCCUAACACAUGCAAGUCGAACGCCCUAGCAAUAGGGAGUGGCGCACGGGUGCGUAACGCGUGGGAAUAUGCCCUUGACUGCGGGACAACAUCGGGAAACUGAUGCUAAUACCGCAUAAUGACUCCGGUCCAAAGAUUUAUCGGUCAAGGAUUAGCCCGCGUCUGAUUAGCUAGUUGGUGAGGUAAUGGCUCACCAAGGCGACGAUCAGUAGCUGGUCUGAGAGGAUGAUCAGCCACACUGGGACUGAGACACGGCCCAGACUGCUACGGGAGGAAGCAGUGAGGAAUAUUGGACAAUGGGCGCAAGCCUGAUCCAGCCAUGCCGCGUGAGUGACGAAGGCCUUCGGGUUGUAAAGCUCUUUCAGAUGCGAAGAUAAUGACGGUAACAUCAGAAGAAGCCCCGGCUAAAUUCGUGCCAGCAGCCGCCGCAG